GGACUUUGUAGGACAGAGCAUAUGGUAAUUAUUUCACUCAUCAUCAGGCCCAGCAAAACAAGUAAAAAUACUAAACAUCAUGGCCAUAUAUAUAAAAGGAAGAUUGUUUACAUAGCAAUUUAUUGCAGGGUUUAUCAGAUUUGCUUCACAGGAUUGAUAAAAAUCCCACGGAAUUCAAUUGUUCAUUGUGUUCUAAGCAGAAUUUUAAAUGAGUCUUGUGCAUCUUCCCUUGACUGAAACAAUACAAAGCUUCAAUAUUCUGUAGUUUUCUUACCAGGUCAUGUUUUUUCUGGUAGAUUCAGGUUUAAAUUUAUUUGUUUUUUCAAUGAUCUAUGGUGGGAUGUUCCAGUUCUUUGCUUCUGAUGAGAGAAU
This 372-nucleotide unclassified non-coding RNA is filed under the name Hevea brasiliensis (rubber tree). Lineage: Eukaryota; Viridiplantae; Streptophyta; Magnoliopsida; Malpighiales; Euphorbiaceae. The record is from RNAcentral.